UGUUUUAGUGAGUACCAUGCAAACCUUUGUAUCAAUUCCAAACUGGGAUACAACUAAUGUCCAAGGAAGAAUAAACACAACAACAACAGUCAGUUCAACGCUUGAUUGUUCUAGAUGUUGUCAUCAAAAUAAAACAUGCGACGGUUUUUUCUAUGACAAAACUAGUGGACAUUGUGCGACCUUUAACAUUGAGGAUGGCCUCAUAAUAUAUGAAAACACACUAGGAAACUUCUUUUAUAGGAAGAAAGAUUGCCUUGAUUCUAGUUAUGCAUACAUAUGGCAGUUGGACAUUUGUAUCACAUUUUACGCCACCAAAUUAUCAUGGAAUGCAUCACAGCAAAGAUGCGCUGAUGACAGCGGAAAUCUGCUAGGUAUACAAAAUGGAAGAAUAGAAUAUUUCUUUUUACCAUAUUUGUUGGCAAAAUCUGAAAUAACGGGAAUACUCGGGUGGUGGAUAGGUGGAACGGAUGUAUACCAAGAGGGAAUUUUCCGAUGGAUGGACGGAGAACGUGUUACAUACACCAACUGGGGUUAUAAUCAACCAGAUAAUAUGACGGACACCGUAAUACCAGGCGGAGACUGCAUGAGAUAUGGCAUUUACCCUAAAGCAAAAUGGUUUGAUAUUGAUUGUAGCAAAACAUUUGCCUUCAUAUGCGAAAACAAAAUGUUUUU
Long non-coding RNA from Mytilus californianus (California mussel), 672 nucleotides. RefSeq lists it as uncharacterized. The record is from RefSeq and is a predicted model, not a curated record. Lineage: Eukaryota; Metazoa; Mollusca; Bivalvia; Mytilida; Mytilidae. The transcript is spliced from 3 exons.